AAGUCGUAACAAGGUUUCCGUAGGUGAACCUGCGGAAGGAUCAUUAACACAAGUAAAAAAACAUUUUACAACACCCUAUUAUGAAUUUAAAUUUUUUAAUUUUAAUUUUAAUUUUUUUAUAAAACUACAAAAAAAAUAUUUAAUUUAUUUGACUAACAUUUUUUUAAUUAAUUUAUUUAAAAUUUUAUAAAACAACUCUUAACAACGGAUAUCUUGGCUCUC
This 222-nucleotide unclassified non-coding RNA is filed under the name fungal sp. Its description in RNAcentral is "partial internal transcribed spacer region". The stretch from base 1 to 46 matches the Rfam family "Eukaryotic small subunit ribosomal RNA", at positions 1786 to 1831 of the family's 1831-position model. The record is from RNAcentral. Lineage: Eukaryota; Fungi.